This 73-nucleotide transfer RNA is filed under the name bacterium. RNAcentral's name for it is "tRNA-Thr". It matches the Rfam family "tRNA". From Rfam's summary of the family: Transfer RNA (tRNA) molecules are approximately 80 nucleotides in length. Their secondary structure includes four short double-helical elements and three loops (D, anti-codon, and T loops). The record is from RNAcentral.
GCCGAUGUAGCUCAGCUGGUAGAGCACGUUCUUGGUAAGAACGGGGUCACCGGUUCAAUCCCGGUCAUCGGCU